AUUGAACGCUGGCGGCAGGCCUAACACAUGCAAGUCGAGCGGAUGAAGGGAGCUUGCUCCUGUAUUCAGCGGCGGACGGGUGAGUAAUGCCUAGGAAUCUGCCUGGUAGUUGGGGAUAACGUCCGGUAACGGGCGCUAAUACCGCAUACGUCCUGAUGUAGAAAGUGGGGGUUCUUCGGACCUCACGCUUUCAUCUGAGCCUAGGUCGGAUUAGCUAGUUGGUGGGGUAAAGGCCUACCAAGGCGACGAUCCGUAACUGGUCUGAGAGGAUGAUCAGUCACACUGGAACUGAGACACGGUCCAGACUCCUACGGGAGGCAGCAGUGGGGAAUAUUGGACAAUGGGCGAAGGCCUGAUCCAGCAAUGCCGCGUGUGUGAAGAAGGUCUUCGGAUUGUAAAGCACUUUAAGUAGGGAGGAAGGGAAGUAAGUUAAAACAUUGCUGUUUUGACGUUACCAAAAGAAAAAGCACCGGCUAACUACGUG
This 484-nucleotide ribosomal RNA is filed under the name uncultured bacterium. RNAcentral describes it as "partial 16S ribosomal RNA". It matches the Rfam family "Bacterial small subunit ribosomal RNA", at positions 30 to 507 of the family's 1533-position model. The record is from RNAcentral.